AGACAUGGGAAGCCUGACCACCGAUGAGGACUAAGCUUUCCAGCCACUCUGACCCAAGCCUAUAGAAAUGUAUGGGAUUGUUGUGAUCUAAGUGCAGCACCUGGCACUCAGUCUUCUUGAGCCUCAUGCAAUUUCUAGUCCUAAGGCCUAUGAACUUAUGAAAGUUAUAAGAAAAGGUGACAGUCCUGACCAUUAGAUGAUCAUUACGCUCUGUAUUGUCAGAUCAUUAUCCUUUGCACCAUGGCAUAGCUCUGUGAUGAAUGGAGACCAUGUGCAGAUUUCUACCUGAAGGGCAGCUUCAGCUCAACAGGCAAUUCUACCUGGGUGAUAGAGCCAGGGUUUCAUUUAUCUACUACCCUAUAGCAUUCAAUGCUGAUUCCGCUGGUGAUUUACAACUUUGAAAAACGUAUUUAAUGGACAUAGCAUGUGUUACACAGAGAGGAAUAGACCUUGAAGACAACACUUGCUUUACUGAUUCUAUAAAAGUAAAGGAGGAAAGAAUGUGAUGUUUCACAUAAGCCCAACAGACUAUAUAAACAGAACACAUCAAGCCAGCACAUUCUCUUUACUACUGGAAAAAAAAAGGCUAUGAGCAAGCAGCUGGGAGACAUUAAAGGAUAAACACUUUAGUAGUGUAUAGUAUUAUGUACACAUUCCACGGCCGUACCACUUUACGAUGUGAUCAAACAAAAUGUCACAAGCAAAGAAGAGAUGAGCUAGUUUGGUACUCAUCCAAAAGACCUCCAAGGAGCCCAUAGCUACUGCAGGAAGUGAUGUUAGCAAUUCACAGGAUGGUAUUUUUCCAUGAGCAAGCAACCAAUUGUGAUUAAAGAGGUGACUGCUUGCAAAUUGUUUUCAGUAUGUAAAGAAAAAGUUGGUUUCUGAGAACUUCUUCAAUGCAAGAGGCACCAACUAAUUUUUUUCCACUUAUGUAAAUUUUAAUGCUUUUCCAAGAAGGAUGUGGUUGACAUCAGUGUCACAUCAAUUCUGAUCAAGCUGUUGAUGUGCAAAGGAACAGACCAAAUCAAAAUCAUUCAAAACUAAGAGUGGUAGUAGGUUGGGGUAAGUCAAAUUUAAGCAAUUUUUUUUUUUUAUAGAUGCACAGUAGAAUCACUUUUUGCGAGUAAUAGAAUAAUAAGUUGAGUGGCAGGUUACCAUCAAGAAAAAAAAAAUGGAUUACAAAGAUGGACAAUAGGCCAAUAGUUAGACAGUAUUCAUUUUGUAUUGUAAUACUUCUGAUUAAUAUGAGCUGUUUUCAUAACAUUUUCUUUAGUCAAAAAAUGUAUAUUUGACCAUCCAGAAAUUGUUCUCUUUGGGGGGUGGCUGGAUUCAUUGAAAAAUGUUAUCAAUCUUUUUUUCCAAAUUAUAUUUUUAAAGAUACUGAUAUGAUGGUUCCAAUGUUUUGCACAAUUACCCAAUAGCCAACAUAUUCAUUCAAUAUAUGCAAGGUCAAGGUUCAUAGUUUUCCUUUGCUUCACAACAUUUGGCCCACUGUUCUGAUCAAUACUUUUACUCCUGCUUUCUGGAACAUUCUGCAAAGGAUCAUAUUCAUUUUCUCCGAAGUACAAAAUGAAAUGUCAAUAGCAAUUAUACAUAGCCUAGAGCAGGAAAAAGAUAAUGCUCAAUCAGUUAGGUGAAACUCUAAAGUGACUUGAUGCAAGAUUUCAUGUAACAUCUUUCCAUAGAUGUAAAUAGAGAAACUUCUAGAAAGCAGCACAGUUCAUAUUAAAGUAGGAACAAGAUGCAACUCAUCCCACUAGAUUUAAUUGUAUGAUGAAAAUACAAGAUACAGUUUACCAAAACAUUGUUGUCUAAAUAUAUAUAUCAACAUGUAAGCUGUGAUCUUAAGGUACAGUUCAAGUCAAAGGAGAUUUAAAGGACAUUAAAACCAAUACAGAAAAUGGUAUCUCUAUUCUGAUUCACAUCUAAUUAAAGUGGACAAAUAGUUUUAUUUUGCAUUUUUUUAAUACAUUCCCAAAAUAAUAAAAUAGAUAUAAAAGAAACCAUUGUAUUCUAACUGAAAUUUGUUAACCUUUACAUUUCAGUUAAAAAGAGAGAAAAGAGACAGAUACAGAGAGAAAAUCAUUGGCUUCCAAUCAGAUUACUUUUUUGAUUAUAAAACUAAAAAUAUAUUACUCAUCAAUCCCUGUACUUAAUAGUCAUUUAUCUAAACACAGUAUUAUCAUAUCCUUUGCACCAAUUAAUUCUGCAUUAUUUUGGUUUGCAGAUCCACAGUUUUGAAUCUAUUUGCAAAGCUACUAUGGAUGAAGUUCUCAUUGUUCUUUAAUGCUUUGUUGCUAAUUGCUACUUUUGGAUUUACUUUUCAUACUGAUUGGAUUUACUUUUCAUACUGAAAUCAGGAGAAAAUAGAUGAACAUAAUCUCAAUGUUGUAAUGAUGUGGAUUUAUUUUCUUUAACUUUCUUCUACAAAUUGUAAGUUAUGAGACUAAUUUGAUGUAGUGCUUUUUAUGUCUAGCGAAAGUAAAUGACAGCUUGUUAAAGCACUUUGCUGUAAGCUGCAUUUGAAUUAGGAUUUUUUUAUUCAUUGACAUAUUAAAAAAAAAUAGAUAAAGACUGACUGAAUUCUAUCAUAUUUAUUAGAUAUUUGAAAGAUAAAUCACAUAUUUUUUCAUUAAAUGGUAUUUCUUAAUGUAUAUUAAAGGAAAUAAACAGUGUUUAAAAGCAGCUUUACAGAACAAACCUCAGGGUUGAUAAGAAGCUUGUUGAUCUUGGCGAGCACAUUUCACCUUAUGUUAUUUGUGGUUCUGGUAAAGAUAAAAAAUAGCUGAGUUUGAUUGUAUGUUUUGAUGUCUGUACUAUCAAAAAGAAUCUUUUAACUUACUUUGAUUAUAUGGUAGCUGAGCCAUCUAUUGGUAAUAGGUUUAACAGUGCCUUUUGACAGUGUUAUGUAACCACCUCAUUUGUUCAGGACAUUCACAAACUAAGGACCUUUCCUCCUUGUUCCAGCUUGUUUAUUCUCAUUUAAUCACAGUUUUCUUCUCCAUAAAUUGCAUUUUUUUUCCUGUCUUUGGGAUGCCUGUCUUUUUACCAACACAAAGAAAACAUCUCAGUUCUUUUAUUCAGUUUCUUCUUACAGAUAUCACUUCUGGCAUUUUGCCACUGAGUACAUUUAAUGUUGAAUUUCCUGUUGUUUUUAAUAACAUACUUUGUUUCUAGUAUUAAAAAUCAUUACUACCG
This is a long non-coding RNA of Gallus gallus (chicken), 3198 nucleotides long. The record is from Ensembl. Lineage: Eukaryota; Metazoa; Chordata; Aves; Galliformes; Phasianidae.